UAUUUAAUUAUAUAUCUUUAAAAAAAAUUUAUUGUGUUAUAAAAAUUUACACAGUACAAAAAUGGAAAGCCAUGACUAAAAAGAAAAACAAUGAACUUGAUCUUAAACUUGAAGAAAGCUGUACUUCUUUAAAAAAGAGAAAAGAAGAAAUAUGGAGAUUUUAUGAGGACAAAAAGAAAGAAAAUGAAUCUGAAGAAGAUAAAGAUUUCUUAUUCAAAGAGGAAUUUUUCAAAAAUACAGAAGCUAUUAAAAAUAGUUUUUUAGAAAUUCAUAGCAGUUAUUUACAAUUUCGUCGGCUACUUCAUAAUGAAAAGUUAAAAAUAUUCGAACUAUGUAGCUCUGUAGAUAAUACCAUGAAAGAAAAUAUCAAAUUAGAAUAUGAGUUAAGUGAAAAUGAAGCCUCUUUAGAAGAUUUACUUAAAAGGAUUGACAGAAUUGAACAAAUGCUAGCUGAAAAAAAGUAUAAAACAUUUUAGAGAAACAGAUCAAAUGCAGGUCUUUAUAAACAAUGGUUUUCAAGAGAUUAGUAUGAAGUGCCAGCAAAAAUGCCAAGUGCUACAUAUUGAAUCUGAAAUGACUGAAAAAUGGAAAAAGAAGUUAAAAUUGUUGUCAAGUGAAUCAAAUUAAAAAUGAGUCAGAAACGUCUGACCAAUUUGAAGUACUUUAUCAAUAGAAUCUGAAAUGUUUUGUGAAGAAAAUGUCAACAAUGUAAUUGAUAAUUUUGUUCAAAGAAAAGCUUGGA
RNAcentral lists this unclassified non-coding RNA (742 nucleotides) under Centruroides sculpturatus (bark scorpion). RNAcentral's name for it is "uncharacterized LOC111628446, transcript variant X3". Lineage: Eukaryota; Metazoa; Arthropoda; Arachnida; Scorpiones; Buthidae. The record is from RNAcentral.